Molecule: ribosomal RNA, 1107 nt
Filed under: Vibrio alginolyticus
Lineage: Bacteria; Pseudomonadati; Pseudomonadota; Gammaproteobacteria; Vibrionales; Vibrionaceae
Description: bacterial SSU rRNA
Rfam family: Bacterial small subunit ribosomal RNA
Source: RNAcentral
GAAUAUUGCACAAUGGGCGCAAGCCUGAUGCAGCCAUGCCGCGUGUGUGAAGAAGGCCUUCGGGUUGUAAAGCACUUUCAGUCGUGAGGAAGGUGGUGUAGUUAAUAGCUGCAUUAUUUGACGUUAGCGACAGAAGAAGCACCGGCUAACUCCGUGCCAGCAGCCGCGGUAAUACGGAGGGUGCGAGCGUUAAUCGGAAUUACUGGGCGUAAAGCGCAUGCAGGUGGUUUGUUAAGUCAGAUGUGAAAGCCCGGGGCUCAACCUCGGAAUAGCAUUUGAAACUGGCAGACUAGAGUACUGUAGAGGGGGGUAGAAUUUCAGGUGUAGCGGUGAAAUGCGUAGAGAUCUGAAGGAAUACCGGUGGCGAAGGCGGCCCCCUGGACAGAUACUGACACUCAGAUGCGAAAGCGUGGGGAGCAAACAGGAUUAGAUACCCUGGUAGUCCACGCCGUAAACGAUGUCUACUUGGAGGUUGUGGCCUUGAGCCGUGGCUUUCGGAGCUAACGCGUUAAGUAGACCGCCUGGGGGAGUACGGUCGCAAGAUUAAAACUCAAAUGAAUUGACGGGGGCCCGCACAAGCGGUGGGAGCAUGUGGUUUAAUUCGAUGCAACGCGAAGAACCCUUACCUACUCUUGACAUCCAGAGAACUUUCCAGAGAUGGAUUGGUGCCUUCGGGAACUCUGAGACAGGUGCUGCAUGGCUGUCGUCAGCUCGUGUUGUGAAAUGUUGGGUUAAGUCCCGCAACGAGCGCAACCCUUAUCCUUGUUUGCCAGCGAGUAAUGUCGGGAACUCCAGGGAGACUGCCGGUGAUAAACCGGAGGAAGGUGGGGACGACGUCAAGUCAUCAUGGCCCUUACGAGUAGGGCUACACACGUGCUACAAUGGCGCAUACAGAGGGCGGCCAACUUGCGAAAGUGAGCGAAUCCCAAAAAGUGCGUCGUAGUCCGGAUUGGAGUCUGCAACUCGACUCCAUGAAGUCGGAAUCGCUAGUAAUCGUGGAUCAGAAUGCCACGGUGAAUACGUUCCCGGGCCUUGUACACACCGCCCGUCACACCAUGGGAGUGGGCUGCAAAAGAAGUAGGUAGUUUAACCUUCGGGGGGACGCUA